GAUGAGACCUUCAGUUUGUGCCCACACUCAUUUGCAGCAACCCUAACAGAGAUUGCGAAAGUUUUCAAAGUGGGGCACCUCGAUUUCUCGAAUCUGUGGUGUGGCGAAUAUCCGUGUACCUCCUGCUUAACUAGCCUGUUUGAAGGCACAGUUCAUUCUCGAGCAAUUCGUCACCUCCUGGGGGUCUUCUCUUCCCGUCUACAGGAGAGUGUGACUUCAGAAAGAACUUCGGAUUGGCCAAGGCAGGUCUGAUUCUAUUUAUUCUAAAGACAGAGUUGGAGAUGGGCUACCAUUGGUAUUGAUUGAGAUGACAAGCAGUCACCUGAACCCAUACAGCUGGGUUCGCAGAUGUGGCUAGUCUUGCUAGCCAGCUCGCUCUGUGGAAAUUCUAGGGAACUGACUGCAGUCCUCAUGCUUGGAGUCAAACACUUUAACCACUACGCAAGUUUAUGUAAUAGGAUUGACAUAUCAGAAUCACAGAAAGGAAUGAAAGAUUAGAGUGGGAGAAAGUGCUUGCUACCAAGCCUGAUGACCUAAAUUGAAUCCUGGAACCUACAGGACAAAAAGAGAGAGCUGACUGCUGAAAGAUGUCCUCAGAUCUUCACAUAUGCACAGUGGCACCUAUCCGACCAUGCACAUAGUAUAUUAAAAAUUAUUUUUAAAAAA
This 666-nucleotide long non-coding RNA is filed under the name Mus caroli (Ryukyu mouse). RNAcentral describes it as "lncRNA (MGP_CAROLIEiJ_G0013837.1)". The record is from RNAcentral. Lineage: Eukaryota; Metazoa; Chordata; Mammalia; Rodentia; Muridae.